This 486-nucleotide ribosomal RNA is filed under the name uncultured soil bacterium. RNAcentral's name for it is "bacterial SSU rRNA". It matches the Rfam family "Bacterial small subunit ribosomal RNA", at positions 26 to 518 of the family's 1533-position model. The record is from RNAcentral.
AGAUUGAACGCUGGCGGCAUGCCUAACACAUGCAAGUCGAACGGGAGUAGCAAUACUCUAGUGGCGGACGGGUGAGGAAUACGUAGGAAUUUGCCCUUAAGUGGGGGAUAACCCGGGGAAACCCGGAUUAAUACCGCAUGACCUCGAAAGAGCAAAGUGGGGGAUCGCAAGACCUCACGCUUUUGGAGAAGCCUACGUCGGAUUAGCUAGUUGGUGAGGUAAUGGCUCACCAAGGCGACGAUCCGUAACUGGUCUGAGAGGAUGAUCAGUCACACCGGAACUGAGACACGGUCCGGACUCCUACGGGAGGCAGCAGUGGGGAAUAUUGGACAAUGGGCGCAAGCCUGAUCCAGCAAUGCCGCGUGUGUGAAGAAGGCCUUGGUUGUAAGCACUUUAAGUUGGAAGUAAAGAACUCGCUCUGACACAGUGAGUCUUGACGGUACCGACAGAAUAAGACACCGGACUAACUCUGUGCCAGCGAGCCGC